This 465-nucleotide ribosomal RNA is filed under the name uncultured bacterium. Its description in RNAcentral is "partial 16S ribosomal RNA". It matches the Rfam family "Bacterial small subunit ribosomal RNA", at positions 28 to 507 of the family's 1533-position model. The record is from RNAcentral.
GACGAACGCUGGCGGCGUGCUUAACACAUGCAAGUCGAACGGAAAGGCCCCUUUGGGGGUCCUCGAGUGGCGAACGGGUGAGUAACACGUGAGUAACCUGCCCUUGACUUCGGGAUAACUUCAGGAAACUGGGGCUAAUACCGGAUAGGAAUCCUUGCUGCAUGGUGGGGGUUGGAAAGCUUCGGCGGUUUUGGAUGGACUCGCGGCUUAUCAGCUUGUUGGUGGGGUAGUGGCUUACCAAGGCUUUGACGGGUAGCCGGCCUGAGAGGGCGACCGGCCACAUUGGGACUGAGAUACGGCCCAGACUCCUACGGGAGGCAGCAGUGGGGAAUAUUGCACAAUGGGCAGAAGCCUGAUGCAGCAACGCCGCGUGCGGGAUGACGGCCUUCGGGUUGUAAACCGCUUUCAGCAGGGGCGAAGCUUGUGGUGACGGUACCUGCAGAAGAAGCACCGGCUAACUACGUG